GAUGAACGCUGGCGGCGUGCUUAACACAUGCAAGUCGAACGAUGAAGCCCAGCUUGCUGGGUGGAUUAGUGGCGAACGGGUGAGUAACACGUGAGUAACCUGCCCUUGACUCUGGGAUAAGCCCGGGAAACUGGGUCUAAUACCGGAUAGGAGCGCCUGUCGCAUGACGGGUGUUGGAAAGAUUUUUCGGUCAUGGAUGGACUCGCGGCCUAUCAGCUUGUUGGUGAGGUAAUGGCUCACCAAGGCGACGACGGGUAGCCGGCCUGAGAGGGUGACCGGCCACACUGGGACUGAGACACGGCCCAGACUCCUACGGGAGGCAGCAGUGGGGAAUAUUGCACAAUGGGCGGAAGCCUGAUGCAGCGACGCCGCGUGAGGGAUGACG
Molecule: ribosomal RNA, 385 nt
Filed under: Micrococcus sp. oral taxon F54
Lineage: Bacteria; Bacillati; Actinomycetota; Actinomycetes; Micrococcales; Micrococcaceae
Description: bacterial SSU rRNA
Rfam family: Bacterial small subunit ribosomal RNA
Source: RNAcentral